UACGGGGGGGCAAGCGUUGUUCGGAAUUACUGGGCGUAAAGGGCUCGUAGGUGGCCAACUAAGUCAGACGUGAAAUCCCCAGGCUCAACUUGGGAACUGCGUCUGAUACUGGAUGGCUUGAAUUCGGGAGAGGGAUGCAGAAUUCCAGGUGUAGCGGUGAAAUGCGUAGAUAUCUGGAGGAACACCGGUGGCGAAGGCGGCAUCCUGGACCGACACUGACGCUGAGUGAGCGAAAGCCAGGGGAGCAAACGGG
Molecule: ribosomal RNA, 253 nt
Filed under: uncultured bacterium
Lineage: Bacteria
Description: partial 16S ribosomal RNA
Rfam family: Bacterial small subunit ribosomal RNA
Source: RNAcentral